GGUUCCAUAGUAUAGCACAUCUGCUUUACACUCAGAAGAUUCUGGGUUCAUGCCCCAGUGGAGCCA
Non-coding RNA from Pteropus alecto (black flying fox), 66 nucleotides. NCBI's taxonomy places the organism in Eukaryota, Metazoa, Chordata, Mammalia, Chiroptera, Pteropodidae. The record is from Rfam.